This 253-nucleotide ribosomal RNA is filed under the name uncultured bacterium. RNAcentral describes it as "partial 16S ribosomal RNA". It matches the Rfam family "Bacterial small subunit ribosomal RNA", at positions 524 to 776 of the family's 1533-position model. The record is from RNAcentral.
CACGAACCGUACGAACGUUAUUCGGAAUUACUGGGCUUAAAGGGUUUGUAGGCGGCCUUGUAAGUCAGGUGUGAAAUCCCUCGGCUCAACCGAGGAAUAGCGCUUGAUACUGCAAGGCUUGAGGGAGACAGGGGUAAGCGGAACUGAUGGUGGAGCGGUGAAAUGCGUUGAUAUCAUCAGGAACACCGGUGGCGAAAGCGGCUUACUGGGUCUCUUCUGACGCUGAGGAACGAAAGCUAGGGGAGCGAACGGG